Small nucleolar RNA from Chlorocebus sabaeus (green monkey), 136 nucleotides. The record is from Ensembl. Lineage: Eukaryota; Metazoa; Chordata; Mammalia; Primates; Cercopithecidae.
CUGCAUGUAGAAAUGUUUGUUCCUCUAUCCUUUGGGAACAGUAAUACAUUCAUAACAAUGCUACAUGUAAAAAGGACUCCUCAGGGUGGCCAACCUUAGGGUAGAGGUUGUAUGGUAGUAUAUUUCUCCUUCAUAA